This 646-nucleotide ribosomal RNA is filed under the name Cyrtocamenta sp. DA3311. RNAcentral's name for it is "eukaryotic LSU rRNA". It matches the Rfam family "Eukaryotic large subunit ribosomal RNA", at positions 663 to 1265 of the family's 3401-position model. The record is from RNAcentral. Lineage: Eukaryota; Metazoa; Arthropoda; Insecta; Coleoptera; Scarabaeidae.
GGACCAAGGAGUCUAGCAUGUGCGCGAGUCAUUGGGACUCUAACUAAACCUACAGGCGCAAUGAAAGUGAAGGUCCGCCGUGCGCGGACCGAGGGAGGAUGGACGGUCCCGAGGGGCCGCCCCGCACUCCCGGGGCGUCUCGUUCUCAAUUUCGAGAAGAGGCGCACCCAGAGCGUACACGCUGGGACCCGAAAGAUGGUGAACUAUGCCUGGUCAGGACGAAGUCAGGGGAAACCCUGAUGGAGGUCCGUAGCGAUUCUGACGUGCAAAUCGAUCGUCGGAACUGGGUAUAGGGGCGAAAGACUAAUCGAACCAUCUAGUAGCUGGUUCCCUCCGAAGUUUCCCUCAGGAUAGCUGGCGCUCGCUUCUCGCGAGUCUCAUUCGGUAAAGCGAAUGAUUAGAGGCAUUGGGGUCGAAACGGCCUCAACCUAUUCUCAAACUUUAAAUGGGUGAGAUCUCCGGCUUGCUUGAACUGUGAAGCCGCGAGAUAUCGGAUCAGAGUGCCAAGUGGGCCACUUUUGGUAAGCAGAACUGGCGCUGUGGGAUGAACCAAACGCCGAGUUAAAGCGCCUAAAUCGACGCUUAUGGGAUACCAUGAAAGGCGUUGGUAACUUAAGACAGCAGGACGGUGGCCAUGGAAGUCGGA